GCCCGGGUGGCGGAAUGGCAUACGCAGUCGACUUAAAAUCGACGGCCGGCAACGGCAUGUGGGUUCGACCCCCACCCCGGGCA
Molecule: transfer RNA, 83 nt
Filed under: Gemmatimonadota bacterium
Lineage: Bacteria; Pseudomonadati; Gemmatimonadota
Description: Gemmatimonadetes bacterium (sediment metagenome) tRNA-Leu
Rfam family: tRNA
About the family: Transfer RNA (tRNA) molecules are approximately 80 nucleotides in length. Their secondary structure includes four short double-helical elements and three loops (D, anti-codon, and T loops). Further hydrogen bonds mediate the characteristic L-shaped molecular structure. tRNAs have two regions of fundamental functional importance: the anti-codon, which is responsible for specific mRNA codon recognition, and the 3' end, to which the tRNAs corresponding amino acid is attached (by aminoacyl-tRNA synthetases). tRNAs cope with the degeneracy of the genetic code in two manners: having more than one tRNA (with a specific anti-codon) for a particular amino acid; and 'wobble' base-pairing, i.e. permitting non-standard base-pairing at the 3rd anti-codon position.
Source: RNAcentral